This 1034-nucleotide ribosomal RNA is filed under the name uncultured organism. RNAcentral describes it as "bacterial SSU rRNA". It matches the Rfam family "Bacterial small subunit ribosomal RNA", at positions 355 to 1418 of the family's 1533-position model. The record is from RNAcentral.
UCGAGAAUCUUCCACAAUGGGGGAAACCCUGAUGGAGCGAUGCUGCGUGCGGGAUGAAGGCCUUCGGGUUGUAAACCGCUUUUGUAGGGGACGAAAUUUUUGACGGUACCCUUUCGAAUAAGAGGUUGCUAACUCUGUGCCAGCAGCAGCGGUAAUACAGAGACCUCAAGCGUUAUCCGGAUUUACUGGGCGUAAAGCGUCUGUAGGGGGUUUAUUAAGUUCCAAGUAAAACUUCAAGGCUCAACUUUGAAUUCGCUUGGAAAACUAAUAAACUGGAGUCUAGCAGAGGUGCAUGGAACUUGUGGUGUAGGAGUGAAAUCCGUUGAUAUCACAAGGAACACCAAAGGCGAAGGCAUUGCACUGGGCUAGCACUGACCCUGAGAGACGAAAGCGUGGGGAGCAAAACGGAUUAGAUACCCGUGUAGUCCACGCCCUAAACGAUGAAUGCUAAAUGUUCGGGGAUUCGACCCCCUGGGUGUUACAGCUAACGCGUUAAGCAUUCCGCCUGGGAAGUACGGCCGCAAGGCUAAAACUCAAAGGAAUAGACGGGGAUCCGCACAAGCGGUGGAGCGUCUGGUUUAAUUCGACAGUAAGCGUGGUACCUCACCAGGGUUUGACAUCCCUUGACAGCCUUGGAAACAAGGUUUCCUUCGGGCAAGGUGACAGGUGCUGCAUGGUCGUCGUCAGUUCGUGCCGUGAGGUGUUCCGUUAAGUCGGGAAACGAACGAAACCCCUAUUGCAUGUUACAAUUUCUCAUGCAAGACUGCCCGGAUAUACUGGGAGGAAGGUGGGGAUGACGUCAGAUCUGCAUGGUCCUUAUACCCUGGGCGACACAGGCGCUACAAUGGCAGAGACAAAGGGUUGCAAAACCGCAAGGUGAAGCUAAUCCCAAAAACUUUGUCUAAGUUCGGAUUGAAGGCUGCAAUUCGCCUUCAUGAAGCUGGAAUCGCUAGUAAUCGUGAAUCAGCCACGUCACGGUGAAUAUGUUCCCGGAUCUUGUACUCACCGCCCGUCACACCAAGAGAGUUGGUAGC